GGGGAAGUAUUGCACAAUGGGCGGCAAGCCUGAUGCAGCCAUGCCGCGUGUAUGAAGAAGGCCUUCGGGUUGUAAAGUACUUUCAGCGAGGAGGAAGGGGGAGUGGUUAAUAACCAUUUUCAUUGACGUUACUCGCAGAAGAAGCACCGGCUAACUCUGUGCCAGCAGCCGCGGUAAUACGGAGGGUGCAAGCGUUAAUCGGAAUUACUGGGCGUAAAGCGCACGCAGGCGGUCUGUCAAGUCGGAUGUGAAAUCCCCGGGCUCAACCUGGGAACUGCAUUCGAAACUGGCAGGCUAGAGUCUUGUAGAGGGGGGUAGAAUUCCAGGUGUAGCGGUGAAAUGCGUAGAGAUCUGGAGGAAUACCGGUUGGCGAAGGCGGCCCCCCUGGACAAAGACUGACGCUCAGGUGCGAAAGCGUGGGGAGCAAACA
Molecule: ribosomal RNA, 430 nt
Filed under: uncultured Enterobacteriaceae bacterium
Lineage: Bacteria; Pseudomonadati; Pseudomonadota; Gammaproteobacteria; Enterobacterales; Enterobacteriaceae
Description: bacterial SSU rRNA
Rfam family: Bacterial small subunit ribosomal RNA
Source: RNAcentral